UAUUAGAUGAGCCUAUAUUAGAUUAGCUAGUUGGUGGAGUAAUAGCCUACCAAGGCAAUGAUCUAUAGCUGAUCUGAGAGGAUGAUCAGCCACACUGGAACUGAGAUACGGUCCAGACUCCUACGGGAGGCAGCAGUGGGGAAUAUUGGACAAUGGGCGAAAGCCUGAUCCAGCCAUGCCGCAUGAGUGAAGAAGGCCUUUGGGUUGUAAAGCUCUUUUAGUGAGGAAGAUAAUGACGGUACUCACAGAAGAAGUCCUGGCUAACUCCGUGCCAGCAGCCGCGGUAAUACGGAGAGGGCUAGCGUUAUUCGGAAUUAUUGGGCGUAAAGGGCGCGUAGGCUGAUUAAUAAGUUAAAAGUGAAAUCCCGAGGCUUAACCUUGGAAUUGCUUUUAAAACUAUUAAUCUAGAGAUUGAAAGAGGAUAGAGGAAUUCCUGAUGUAGAGGUAAAAUUCGUAAAUAUUAGGAGGAACACCAGUGGCGAAGGCGUCUAUCUGGUUCAAAUCUGACGCUGAAGCGCGAAGGCGUGGGGAGCAAACAGGAUUAGAUACCCUGGUAGUCCACGCUGUAAACGAUGAAUGUUAAAUAUGGGAAGUUUACUUUC
This 602-nucleotide ribosomal RNA is filed under the name Wolbachia endosymbiont of Bemisia tabaci. RNAcentral describes it as "bacterial SSU rRNA". It matches the Rfam family "Bacterial small subunit ribosomal RNA", at positions 219 to 841 of the family's 1533-position model. Lineage: Bacteria; Pseudomonadati; Pseudomonadota; Alphaproteobacteria; Rickettsiales; Anaplasmataceae. The record is from RNAcentral.